ACCCAUAUAAAUUAAUAAAUUAUAUUAAAAAUAGGAAAAACUUCAAAUACUGUCUUUAUGGUUCAACGCUUUUUCAUUUUAGAACCUUAUAGUUUAAGCUGUAUCACUUUAAUAUCCUGUGAUUUUGUUUUUCUCUUUUCAUUAUCCCUUCCGUUAAUUUUUUUUUAUUAAAUUAAUGAGAAAGUUUAAACUACACGGUAUUAAAGUAAAAAUUUUGUAAACCACACGAUACUAAAGUGAAUAUUCGAUAAACAACAGGGGUAUUUGAAGUUUUUUUUCUCUACAUUUUAACAAAGAGUUAACGGAGGGGAUAACGUAAAGAAAAAAAAUAAAAAACAUGCUACAAAAAUGAUAUAUUUUAAACCACAAUGUACUAAAAUAAAAGAGUGAAAAAGCGAUAAACCAUAGGGAAAAUAUUUGA
RNAcentral lists this long non-coding RNA (421 nucleotides) under Ananas comosus (pineapple). RNAcentral's name for it is "long non-coding RNA (ACOM_LNC010820)". Lineage: Eukaryota; Viridiplantae; Streptophyta; Magnoliopsida; Poales; Bromeliaceae. The record is from RNAcentral.